This 388-nucleotide unclassified non-coding RNA is filed under the name soil metagenome. Its description in RNAcentral is "partial contains 5.8S ribosomal RNA, internal transcribed spacer 2, and large subunit ribosomal RNA". The stretch from base 1 to 121 matches the Rfam family "5.8S ribosomal RNA", at positions 35 to 154 of the family's 154-position model. The record is from RNAcentral.
GAUGAAGAACGUAGUGAAAUGCGAUAAGUAAUGCGAAUUGCAGAAUUUCCGUGAGUCAUCGAAUCUUUGAACGCACAUUGCGCCCAUUAGUAUUCUAGUGGGCAUGCCUGUUCGAGCGUCAUUAAUUCCACUUAAGCCCUGCUUAGUGUUGGGAAUCUACUCUAGUGGUGCUACCCUGGAGCUACCCCUGAAAGGGGGCUGGCCCGGUAGCUACCCUGUAGUUCCUCAAAGAUAGUGCGCGGAGUUGCGUGGUCCUCUGAGCUUAGUAACUAUACACCUAGCUUUUGAGUGUCCCGCGGCGCCUGCCGUUUAAACCCCAUCUUUUAAUGGUUGACCUCGGAUCAGGUAGGAAUACCCGCUGAACUUAAGCAUAUCAAUAAGCGGAGGA